GCCAGGCGUGGUGGCACGUGCCUGUAGUCCCAGCUACUUGGGAGGCUGAGGUGGAAGGAUCGCUUGAACCCAGGAGUUCUGGGCUGUAGUGCACUAUGCCGAUCGGCUGUUGGCACUAAGUUCAGCAUCAAUAUGGUGACCUCCCAGGAGUGGGGGACCACCAGGUUGCCUAAGGAGGGGUGAACCGGCCCAGGUCGGAAAUGGAACAGGUCAAAACUCCUGUGCUGAUCAGUAGUGGGAUCGCGCCUGUGAAUAGCCACUGCACUCCAGCCUGGGCAACGUAGCAAGACCCCGUAUCU
Molecule: signal recognition particle RNA, 299 nt
Filed under: Saimiri boliviensis boliviensis (Bolivian squirrel monkey)
Lineage: Eukaryota; Metazoa; Chordata; Mammalia; Primates; Cebidae
Description: Metazoan signal recognition particle RNA (ENSSBOG00000008605.1)
Rfam family: Metazoan signal recognition particle RNA
About the family: The signal recognition particle (SRP) is a universally conserved ribonucleoprotein. It is involved in the co-translational targeting of proteins to membranes.
Source: RNAcentral